GACGAACGCUGGCGGCGUGCCUAAUACAUGCAAGUAGAACGCUGAAGGAGGAGCUUGCUCUUCUGGAUGAGUUGCGAACGGGUGAGUAACGCGUAGGUAACCUGCCUGGUAGCGGUGGAUAACUAUUGGAAACGAUAGCUAAUACCGCAUAACAGUAGAUGUUGCAUGACAUUUGCUUAAAAGGUGCAAUUGCACCACUACCAGAUGGACCUGCGUUGUAUUAGCUAGUUGGUGGGGUAACGGCUCACCAAGGCGACGAUACAUAGCCGACCUGAGAGGGUGAUCGGCCACACUGGGACUGAGACACGGCCCAGACUCCUACGGGAGGCAGCAGUAGGGAAUCUUCGGCAAUGGACGGAAGUCUGACCGAGCAACGCCGCGUGAGUGAAGAAGGUUUUCGGAUCGUAAAGCUCUGUUGUAAGAGAAGAACGAGUGUGAGAGUGGAAAGUUCACACUGUGACGGUAUCUUACCAGAAAGGGACGGCUAACUACGUG
RNAcentral lists this ribosomal RNA (495 nucleotides) under uncultured bacterium. RNAcentral's name for it is "partial 16S ribosomal RNA". It matches the Rfam family "Bacterial small subunit ribosomal RNA", at positions 28 to 507 of the family's 1533-position model. The record is from RNAcentral.